GGCCCUUCGGGGUACACGAGCGGCGAACGGGUGAGUAACACGUGGGUGAUCUGCCUUGCACUUCGGGAUAAGCCUGGGAAACCGGGUCUAAUACCGGAUAUGACCACUGAUCGCAUGGUUGGUGGUGGAAAGAUUUAUCGGUGCGAGAUGGGCCCGCGGCCUAUCAGCUUGUUGGUGAGGUAACGGCUCACCAAGGCGACGACGGGUAGCCGACCUGAGAGGGUGACCGGCCACACUGGGACUGAGACACGGCCCAGACUCCUACGGGAGGCAGCAGUGGGGAAUAUUGCACAAUGGGCGAAAGCCUGAUGCAGCGACGCCGCGUGCGGGAUGACGGCCUUCGGGUUGUAAACCGCUUUUGACAGGGACGAAGCGCAAGUGACUGUACCUGUAGAAUAAGGACCGGCCAACUACGUGCCAGCAGCCGCGGUAAUACGUAGGGUCCGAGCGUUGUCCGGAAUUACUGGGCGUAAAGAGCUUGUAGGCGGUUCGUCGCGUCGUUUGUGAAAACUUGGGGCUCAACCUUAAGCUUGCAGGCGAUACGGGCGGACUAGAGUACUUCAGGGGAGACUGGAAUUCCUGGUGUAGCGGUGAAAUGCGCAGAUAUCAGGAGGAACACCGGUGGCGAAGGCGGGUCUCUGGGAAGUAACUGACGCUGAGAAGCGAAAGCAUGGGUAGCAAACAGGAUUAGAUACCCUGGUAGUCCAUGCCGUAAACGGUGGGUACUAGGUGUGGGGCUCCUUCCACGGACUCCGUGCCGUAGCUAACGCAUUAAGUACCCCGCCUGGGGAGUACGGCCGCAAGGCUAAAACUCAAAGAAAUUGACGGGGGCCCGCACAAGCGGCGGAGCAUGUGGAUUAAUUCGAUGCAACGCGAAGAACCUUACCUGGGUUUGACAUACACCGGAAACCUGCAGAGAUGUAGGCCCCCUUGUGGUCGGUGUACAGGUGGUGCAUGGCUGUCGUCAGCUCGUGUCGUGAGAUGUUGGGUUAAGUCCCGCAACGAGCGCAACCCUUAUCUUAUGUUGCCAGCGCGUAAUGGCGGGGACUCGUGAGAGACUGCCGGGGUCAACUCGGAGGAAGGUGGGGACGACGUCAAGUCAUCAUGCCCCUUAUGUCCAGGGCUUCACACAUGCUACAAUGGCCGGUACAGAGGGCUGCGAUACCGCGAGGUGGAGCGAAUCCCUUAAAGCCGGUCUCAGUUCGGAUCGGGGUCUGCAACUCGACCCCGUGAAGUUGGAGUCGCUAGUAAUCGCAGAUCAGCAACGCUGCGGUGAAUACGUUCCCGGGCCUUGUACACACCGCCCGUCACGUCAUGAAAGUCGGUAACACCCGAAGCCGGUGGCCUAACCCC
Molecule: ribosomal RNA, 1353 nt
Filed under: Nocardia sp. FXJ1.012
Lineage: Bacteria; Bacillati; Actinomycetota; Actinomycetes; Mycobacteriales; Nocardiaceae
Description: bacterial SSU rRNA
Rfam family: Bacterial small subunit ribosomal RNA
Source: RNAcentral